UGCAUGGGAACCUGCAGGGGGGAGAAUGGCUUGGCCAGGGCCUGGGAGCACAGCUAUAUUUGGUCAGCAGACAAGGCCCCUGCCUUAGCCUCUAGAGGUCCAGCAGGCUGGGCCGGGCAGGAAGCCAGGGAAGGCGGGAGGGAGGGAGAGGAGAGCGGCGGGGAGUCUGUCUAAUCUUGAGGUUGUAAACUGAGUGGAAUCCAAGCACAGAGGUGUCUUGUUUGUUGUUUGGCCCACCUGGUGCUUUAAAUCAAGAGAGUGGCUGGAGUUAGGUGGGACUGCCCAUUUAAAGGGGGCCCGUAGCAUCCAUUUUGCACCCCGCCCAUCCCCACCUCUUGAUCCCUGCCUGCUUCAUUAACGGCAGUGAUGGCACCUACAUUUGCAGCCUCUAGUCCAGCAGACUAAAGGAAACUGUUGUCCAUGUUGUCGACUCUGAUGGCACCCCCCAGCCUUUCAGUGGGGAUCUGGCUGGGAUAGGAUCAGAGCCCAUCAGUAAGCUGGGAGACAUGACAUAGCUUGAGUAUUGAGCUUGGCCAUUGGAAGCAUUUGGAGAAAGGACAUUGUUCCAUUACGCUCAAAGAGAACACUUCCCAUUGAUCAGGACAGAAACUGUCCUCUGAUUGCUUCUCAGCCUGAGCUUCUGUGUGCAUAUGAGCAUGAGCAUGUGAUUCUGUGUAUAGAUGUGUGUGUGCAUGUGUGUGCACGUGUGCGUGUGUAUGGGCCACACAGCAAGCAUCACACCCAGCUGUCCCUGGACAACUGUGUCAGUCAAGGAUUGGCGUCUCCAUCUAUUGAACCAUUGGAGUCUCCAUCUAUUUGAGACAUGACCCUGAGGCCCUCUGAACCCUACCACUUGACUCUGGAGGAUCUUCUCGGAAGGAGAUGUCCCUCUAGGACCAGGAGCCAAGCUGGGGCCGG
This 918-nucleotide long non-coding RNA is filed under the name Marmota monax (woodchuck). Lineage: Eukaryota; Metazoa; Chordata; Mammalia; Rodentia; Sciuridae. The record is from RNAcentral.